AGGUGCGAUCAUACCAACGCUAAUGCACCGGAUCCCAUCAGAACUCCGCAGUUAAUCGUGCUUGGGCGAGAGUAGUACUAGAAUGGGUGACCUCCUGGGAAGUCCUUGUGUUGCACCUC
This 119-nucleotide ribosomal RNA is filed under the name Trifolium pratense (red clover). Lineage: Eukaryota; Viridiplantae; Streptophyta; Magnoliopsida; Fabales; Fabaceae. The record is from RNAcentral.